AGAACUCAGUGCUCAUGCUUGCUGUGCGCAGUUUUAAGCGUUCCUCCAUCCACAGCUAGGACUCCGAUGGGUGCAUCUGCGAUCAGUCCUUGGUGCUGCGGAGAGAGUGAAGGUCCCACCAGCAGUGACAUGACAUGAUUUGUGGCUCUGCACCUCGUUGCCCUCAUCGAAGAUAGUCAGGAGACCCUAGAAAGAUGCCAUUCACACCCUGGAGUGCUGUGGGCCAUGCAAGAGCAGCUGGACACAGGAGCAGCUUCCUGCCUAGACCCGGGCCGCUUCCCCAGAAAGAGGAACCAGCAGUGGUGGCUGGAGCGUCUGGCGGCGAUAAAAGGCAGCCUUACAGCAGGAGGCAAACGAGUAGACAGCAGACAAAUCUAUAUGAUGUAAUUCUGAUUGGAAAGAGCAGGGCAUAGCUCUUUUCCAAGGAGACUUGCUGCCACCGAUCAGCCGUGAGAGCGUGGACAAGCCAUUUCAUCUCUCUGGACCUCGGCCUCCUUAUUUGCUCAGGUGGGCUCUGGACUAGGUAGUGGGGUCUAGUGUUCCUUGCCUUUGUGGAAGAAAUGGUCAAUUUGAGGAGCAGCAGGCCAGCUUUGUGGGCGUGUGACCUGUGCAUUCACAUGGAGUCCUGUACUUAGAAGGGGCCAAGGCUUGGUUUAAUGCUCUGCUGUCACUCUCUUGAAAUUCAUAAUAUUUUUUGAGCAAAGAGCCUCACAUUCC
Molecule: long non-coding RNA, 717 nt
Filed under: Equus caballus (horse)
Lineage: Eukaryota; Metazoa; Chordata; Mammalia; Perissodactyla; Equidae
Description: lncRNA (ENSECAG00000046396.1)
Source: RNAcentral